RNAcentral lists this ribosomal RNA (415 nucleotides) under uncultured crenarchaeote. RNAcentral's name for it is "partial 16S ribosomal RNA". It matches the Rfam family "Archaeal small subunit ribosomal RNA", at positions 330 to 747 of the family's 1478-position model. The record is from RNAcentral. Lineage: Archaea; Thermoproteati; Thermoproteota.
GUGCAGCAGUCGCGAAAACUCUGCAAUACGCGCAAGCGUGACAGGGCUACCCCGAGUGUCGUCCGCUGAGGACGACUUUUCCACGCUGUAAGGAGGCGUGGGAAUAAGGAGAGGGCAAGUCUGGUGUCAGCCGCCGCGGUAAUACCAGCUCUCCGAGUGGUAGGGACGUUUAUUGGGCUUAAAGCGUCCGUAGCCGGCUCAACAAGUCCACCGUUAAAUCCAACGAUUCAAUCGUUGGACUGCGGGAGAUACUGCUGAGCUAGGAGGCGAGAGAGGCCGAAGGUAGUCCCGGAGUAGGGGUGAAAUCUUAUAAGUCCGGGAGGAACACCAGUGGCGAAGGCGGUCGGCUAGAACGCGCUCGACGGUGAGGGACGAAAGCUGGGGGAGCGAACCGGAUUAGAUACCCGGGUAGUCC